CGGGGAGACCGCGUUUAGAGGAUCAGUGGCGGCGGCACCCGCGGCCCCGCGCGGCGCGGACGGCGGGCAGCACCGUGCCUGGGCCCCCUCCUGCUCCGGUUCCAGAAUGACGCUCGGCCCAUGGACAGAGCCUGCCCAGUCACUCUCGGCUGCUAUUGAUCCCGAGGAUGAUGGCCGCCCCUAGCCAUUUCCCUCCUCUCUCUUCGGUUCCAGAACAGCCCAAGGAGCAGAAAAGAGUGACAAGGCCGUGAAAGGAGGCGCCUGGGGCGUAGCCGGCUCUAGGAGGUUACCCCAUGCGGAGUACACACCCUGCUACACCCAUCCCGGAGGAGGGAGGAAAUAGCCAGCCCGGAGCACCCCUGGACUCUGCCGGUCCCAGAGGCCACGCAAACUCCGCCCAGACUCGGUGAGGCCGCGGUAAUGCCACGCAGGGAACUGCGUGGAUAAGGUCGCUCGGAUCUGAGCGCCAAGGUCUCCCGCCUCUCCUUCCCGUCUAGUUCUCUCCGGACUCAAAUUGCCUUAAUCUCACCCAUCACUCUCUCAUGGAAAUGAUCUACUCGUGUGCAGUACUUCACAGCUUGUAUCACGGUCUCCCCUGAACCGUAUAGCAAGAGGGUGGUGGGGGGUGGAAGAGAAGGGUACUAUCUCCACUUUCCCGGCCAGGAGGCCCAAGUUAGGAGGCUUGUCCGAGAUCCCUAGGUCAGAGCACUAUUUAAGGUGAGAAGUUGGGUGGGGAGCUUGGCACCUUGCUCCAGUGUGCACUUUGCGCCUGGCCAUGUUUUAUAAGCAAGGGGGGCUUGGGCUGGUUAAGGGGGAGCAGGGACCGCAGGGCCAGGAAAGGGCAGCAUCCGGCAGGCCGGGGCGUCACGGUAUGUGCCUGGCCUGGGUAAACAACUCUGGCUUCCCACGAGCGCUGGAGGGACCCUGGGCAUGGGGCAGGGGCGUGGGGGAGGGGGGGCAGGGGCGUGGGGUGGGGCAGGGAGCGGGUGGAACAGCGAGGUCAAGCGUGGAGAUUCCAGUUGCGAGUCAGCUCCGCGCCGCGGAGCAAAGACAGGACGUGGAUAAUCUUGGGAGGGAGACGCUGAGCUGAAGAACAGAAAAGAGAGACAGAGGCAGAAGUGAGGAGAGAGGGACAGGAAAAGAAAAUAAAGGCAGAAAACCAGAGAAAAGAUGAGACGGAGUGCGGAAAAGCAGGCGGGGAUAAAGAAAGGAAAGAUCUGUCGGGGAAAUGCGGGGAGAAGUGGAGGAAAAGAAACAGAAAUUAGACCCAGAGAGAGACCCUGCCACGAAGAAGGCCGCGGGGACGGGCGCGGAGCCGAGGGCCCUGCAGGCACGGAGGGGGCGUCCCGCGGGUCUGGGGGUGUGCGGCUUUGGGACAGGCGAGUGCGUGCUGAGAGAAAGAGGCAGCGUGUUUGGUGGGAGACUCUGCGCCCGUGGAAAAGCGGCUCUGGGCAGGAAUCCAACAAAUAAAUAAAACGUCUAAGACGGCGUGACAACAAUGAAAAAAAAAAAAAAAAA
RNAcentral lists this long non-coding RNA (1518 nucleotides) under Homo sapiens (human). RNAcentral's name for it is "LHX1 divergent transcript, transcript variant 1 (LHX1-DT)". Lineage: Eukaryota; Metazoa; Chordata; Mammalia; Primates; Hominidae. The record is from RNAcentral.